UACGGAGGAUGCGAGACGGUUAUCCGGACUUUAAGUUGGGUUUAAAGGGUGCGCAGGCGGGAUUUUAAAGUCAGCGGUGAAAGUUUUCAGGCUCAACCUAAACACUGCCGUUGAAACUGGGAUUCUUGAGUAUGGAUGAAGGUAGGCGGAAUUCGUUGUGUAGCGGUGACAUGCUUAGAUAUAACGAGGAAACUCCGGAUUGCGUAGGCAGCUUACUAAGCCAUAACUGACGCUCAAGCACGAAAGCGUGGGGAUCAAACAGGAUUAGAUACCCCCGUACGU
RNAcentral lists this ribosomal RNA (282 nucleotides) under uncultured bacterium. RNAcentral's name for it is "partial 16S ribosomal RNA". It matches the Rfam family "Bacterial small subunit ribosomal RNA", at positions 524 to 794 of the family's 1533-position model. The record is from RNAcentral.